This is a long non-coding RNA of Cyprinus carpio carpio, 552 nucleotides long. Lineage: Eukaryota; Metazoa; Chordata; Actinopteri; Cypriniformes; Cyprinidae. The record is from Ensembl.
CCAAAGCAGAGUAACUGUGCUUUGCGUCCAAGUUGAUACCUGUGGAGAGGAAAGGAAAGAGAGAUUGAUACCUGUGGAGAGAAAAGGAGAGAGAGUGGGUAACACGAGGAGAGAUCGAGGAAACCUGUACUUACGCCGCUGCCUGUGGAGAGAAAAGGAAAGAGAGAGUGAGUAACACAAGGAGAAACAGAGGAAACCUGUACUUACAGUACGCUGUGUUCAGCCCAGAGGUGAGAGCCAUUCAAAGCAAACUAACUGUGCUAGUGUGCCCAAGUUGAUGCCUGUGGAGAGAAAAGGAGAGAGAGUGAAUAACACGAGGAGAGACCGAGGAAACCUGUACUUACGCCGCUGCCUGUGGAGAAAGAGAAAGCGACCGUUGCCUGUGGAGGAAGAGAAAGAGAGUGAGCACCCCGAGAACGAACUGUGUGAACCAGUACUUACCGUGAGCUGUAUUCAGCGAAGAGGAGGAAGAAGGAGGGCGCUACGGAUACCUAAGACUCAGGCCGGGGCCCGAGUCCCACGCCCCGGAUCCCCGUGGCCCCCUUGCUCCCC